ACGUAGGGUGCGAGCGUUGUUCGGAAUUAUUGGGCGUAAAGGGCUCGUAGGCGGUUUGUUGCGUCGUAUGUGAAAUUCCGGGGCUUAACCACGGGAGUGCAGGCGAUACGGGCAUAACUUGAGUACUGUAGGGGUAACUGGAAUUCCUGGUGUAGCGGUGAAAUGCGCAGAUAUCGGGAGGAACACCGAUGGCGAAGGCGGCUUACUGGACAGUUACUGACGCUGAGAAGCGAAAGCGUGGGUAGCGAACAG
Molecule: ribosomal RNA, 252 nt
Filed under: uncultured prokaryote
Description: partial 16S rRNA
Rfam family: Bacterial small subunit ribosomal RNA
Source: RNAcentral